CACGCAGGCGGCUAGGCAAGUCUGACGUGAAAGCUCCCGGCUAAACUGGGAGAGGUCGUUGGAAACUGCUUAGCUUGAGGUAAUGAGAGGGGUGCGGAAUUCCCGGUGUAGUGGUGGAAUGCGUAGAUAUCGGGAGGAACACCAGUGGCGAAAGCGGCACCCUAGCAUUGACCUGACGCUCAUGUGCGAAAGCGUGGGGAGCGAACG
This 207-nucleotide ribosomal RNA is filed under the name uncultured bacterium. RNAcentral's name for it is "partial 16S ribosomal RNA". It matches the Rfam family "Bacterial small subunit ribosomal RNA", at positions 568 to 774 of the family's 1533-position model. The record is from RNAcentral.